This 31-nucleotide non-coding RNA is filed under the name Rattus norvegicus (Norway rat). Lineage: Eukaryota; Metazoa; Chordata; Mammalia; Rodentia; Muridae. The record is from RNAcentral.
UGGAAGUGCUCAGUAAUCUAUUUACAACAAA